AGAAAACAUUUCACAUCAGUGCUAUGGAUACUAGAGAUAAAACAAGAUAAAAUGACAAACACAGUAUGCCAAUGAAGAAAAUGGACUCAAAAAAAAUGAGAAUAGGAACAAAAUGCAGAUGUCAGGAGGAUGUUACUGAAGGUGAAUGUUCCACACAUUUAAAGGGCCAUACUAUUUACCACAAUGCUAAGAUUUGCUCCACACGACUCAUCAGGUUUUUCCUCAACCUGCAAAACAGAGAGGAGAGCAUCAUCUGAGAAAACUAUAUUGAAGUAAUUACAGAACAAACUUCCACGUCAAGGAUUAAGAUAUGAGUUAACAAGAUAAAUGAGCACAGAAACUACGAGUAGGCUGCAAAAGGGAAAAUGCUCCCGGAGAACAUCUGUUUUGGGUAAAGCAAUUUAAUUACAAAGAUCAUGGUGGUAUCGUCAGGAUUUAUUUCAAGAGAAGAGCAAGAAGCAAAAGAGGGCGGUGGGAACCCUUGACACCCUCCUUUAUCAUCAGCAAUGUAGGAGCCAAGAAAAAUCUGCCUCCUUUUGUUUGCCUUUGUAUCAAUUUCCUCUUCUGAAAUAAAGAAGUCCAAGCAAAGUGGUCUGGUUUUUGA
RNAcentral lists this long non-coding RNA (604 nucleotides) under Felis catus (domestic cat). Its description in RNAcentral is "lncRNA (ENSFCAG00000040356.2)". Lineage: Eukaryota; Metazoa; Chordata; Mammalia; Carnivora; Felidae. The record is from RNAcentral.